Molecule: long non-coding RNA, 395 nt
Filed under: Carica papaya (papaya)
Lineage: Eukaryota; Viridiplantae; Streptophyta; Magnoliopsida; Brassicales; Caricaceae
Description: long non-coding RNA (CPAP_LNC016175)
Source: RNAcentral
CCUUUUUAUCUAAUUCCAGAAUUUUGGCACGGCGACUCUGCCAUACUCUAGUAACGCCACUGUCGCUUGCAGUGGCGGUUUGCCUCUGGUAGGCUAUUUUCGGUCGUUUUCAGCCUAAUUCAGCUGGUUUUGUAUCAAUCCCUGCGACAAAUAUGUUAAGGGGCCUCGGUUGACCGAAAAAAAUAGAAAAAUCGAAACUCACUGGUGGCGGAGUUCUUCGGUGCGGCGGCUCCACCGGCUCACAUUUACGGUUGAGUGUUUUGCUUCGGUCAACCUGUAGAGAAGGAAACGGUGAUUACAAUGGUGGAAGAAUUACGUAGAACAGGAAUCGGGAAGGGCCUCAUCAAAGGCCCUUUUUGUAUUUUUCCAUGGCGGUGCCGUUGGACUUUACUCUC